GAGUUUGAUCUUGGCUCAGAUUGAACGCUGGCGGCAUGCCUUACACAUGCAAGUCGAGCGGCAGCGCGGGGGCAACCCUGGCGGCGAGCGGCGAACGGGUGAGUAAUGCAUCGGAACGUGUCCUCUUGUGGGGGAUAACCAGUCGAAAGACUGGCUAAUACCGCAUGAGAUCGAGAGAUGAAAGCAGGGGACCGCAAGGCCUUGCGCGAGAGGAGCGGCCGAUGCCGGAUUAGCUAGUUGGUGGGGUAAAAGCCUACCAAGGCGACGAUCCGUAGCUGGUCUGAGAGGACGACCAGCCACACUGGGACUGAGACACGGCCCAGACUCCUACGGGAGGCAGCAGUGGGGAAUUUUGGACAAUGGGGGAAACCCUGAUCCAGCCAUGCCGCGUGUGUGAAGAAGGCCUCGGUUGUAAG
This 416-nucleotide ribosomal RNA is filed under the name uncultured beta proteobacterium. RNAcentral's name for it is "bacterial SSU rRNA". It matches the Rfam family "Bacterial small subunit ribosomal RNA", at positions 9 to 429 of the family's 1533-position model. Lineage: Bacteria; Pseudomonadati; Pseudomonadota; Betaproteobacteria. The record is from RNAcentral.